RNAcentral lists this ribosomal RNA (3074 nucleotides) under Microglena monadina. Its description in RNAcentral is "LSU rRNA". It matches the Rfam family "Bacterial large subunit ribosomal RNA", at positions 21 to 2644 of the family's 2925-position model. Lineage: Eukaryota; Viridiplantae; Chlorophyta; Chlorophyceae; Chlamydomonadales; Chlamydomonadaceae. The record is from RNAcentral.
AYGGYGGAGACCUAGGCACCCAGAGACGAUGAAGGGCGCAGGUACCGGCGAUACGCUUCGGGGAGCUGGUAGUAAGCGUUGAUCCGAAGAUCCCCGAAUAAAUAAAUUUCAAGAACUUCCUACAGAAUUCAUAAGUAGGAAAGAGGGAACCCGGUGAAUUGAAACAUCUUAGUAGCCGGAGGAAAAGAAAGCAAAAGCGAUUCCCGUAGUAGCGGCGAGCGAACUGGGACUAGCCUAAACCUGUGGGCAGGGGUAGUGGGAAACAAAAUGAAUAAGGAAAAAAUUAACUUGUUCUAGCUUAAGUUAAAAGUUACUUCUUAGUUAAGGUAAAAAAGCAAACCAUGCCCUAGGGUGGGGGGGCUAUGCAAGGUCAGCAUAGCUUUGCUAUGCAGCCCCAGCUUUCAGCAUGCUCCGCCAUGCAGCUCCCAGCUCAAGUUUACUUAACUUAGAGUUUGGGGUUUAAAGAGUAGCAAAAAAACGAGUGUAAGACGAAACAAUCGAAUAUUGUACCAUAGAUGGUGAAAGUCCAGUAGUUAUAAACUAAAGCGUAGUAAUAUCCCGAGUAGCAUGGGACACGUGGAAUCCCGUGUGAAUCAGCGAGGACCACCUCGUAAGGCUAAAUACUCCUGGGUGACCGAUAGCGAAGUAGUACCGCGAGGGAAAGGUGAAAAGAACCUCUGAAGAGGAGUGAAAUAGAACAUGAAACCGUAAGCUGACAAGCAGUGGGAGGGUUAAAUAAAAAGCCUGACCGCGUGCCUGUUGAAGAAUGAGCCGGCGACUUAUAGGAAGUGGCAAUAGUGUGAGGUUAAGGAGUAAUAUCCGGAGCCUAAGCGAAAGCGAGUCUUAAAUGGCUUCGUCACUUCUUAUGGACCCGAACCCGGGUGAUCUAAUCAUGGCCAGGAUGAAAUUUGGGUAACACCAACCGGAGGUCCGAACCGACCGAUGUUGAAAAAUCGGCGGAUGAGUUGUGAUUAGGGGAGAAAUUCCAAUCGAACUCGGAGCUAGCUGGAUCUCCCCGAAAUGCGUUGAGGCGCAGCGGUUAAGAUUUACCAUCUAGGGGUAAAGCGACUGUUUCGGUGCGGGCUGCGAAAGCGGUACCAAGUCGUGGCAAACUCAGAAUACUAGAUGUAGAAUUAGCUUAACCAGUGAAACACAAGGGGAUAAGCUCUUGUGUUAAGAGGGAAACAGCCCAGAUCACCAGCUAAGGCCCCUAAAUGGUCACUAAGUGGAAAAGGAUGUGAGAAUGCUGAAACAACCAGGAGGUUUGCUUAGAAGCAGCCACCCUUGAUAGAGUGCGUAAUAGCUCACUGGUAAAGCGUUCUUGCGCCGACAAUGGCCGGGACUAAGUGACCUGCCGAAGCUGUGAUAUUUCUAUUUGAAGUAGGUAGUAAGGAUGAAGAGGCUUUCUCUACCACCCGUAGGGUAUGAGAUUGCUAUAUCCUUGCUAAUAGCAAGUUGCCCCCAGCGAAGCUGGGCUGGUUUUUCAAAGCCUCUGGUACCUUCUAGCUUUUAGAAUCUAUAGGCUGCAUNNNAUGCAGCCUAUAGAUUCUAAAAGCUAGAAGGUACCAGAGACUUACAAAGUUUGAAAAACCUGACCUUGCAUAGCUUUGCUAUGCUAGGGCUACAAGGUUAAAAGUUUCUUCAAGUAAAGUAGGUAGGGGAGCGUCGUGUUUGCGGGAGAAGUCUUCACGUAAGUGGGGUUGGACCAAACACGAGCGAGAAUGUCGGCUUGAGUAACGAAAACAUUGGUGAGAAUCCAAUGCCCCGAAAACCUAAGGGUUCCUCCACUAGGCUCGUCCAUGGGGGGUUAGUCAGGUCCUAAGAAAAGGUCGAAAGGCGUAUUCGAUGGGCAACAGGUUACUAAUCCUGUACUGUUCUAUUGGGAACCGAGUGACGAAGAAGACUAAACUAGAAAUGUAGUUGGAUUGCAGUGGAAGCGUUAAGGUAUUGAGAGCUAGAAUAAAAACUAUGCUUGAGCUAAGGCGUGAUCCCUAUUCUGUGAUGGGGUAGCUAGUGAUGUCAUACUUCCUAGAAAAGCUUGAACACCAUAACAAUAGAAACACCUGUACCUGAAACCGACACAGGUAGGUUGGUAGAGAAUACCAAGGGGCGCGAGAGAACUCUCUCUAAGGAACUCGGCAAACUGGCCCCGUAACUUCGGAAGAAGGGGCACCCUCUCUAAAAGGAGGGUCGCAGUGACCAGGCUCUGGCGACUGUUUAUCAAAAACACAGGUCUCCGCAAAGUCGAAAGACAAUAUAUGGGGGCUGACGCCUGCCCAGUGCCGGAAGGUUAAGGAAGUUGGUUAUUUAUUAUUUAGAGAAGCUGACGACCGAAGCCCCGGUGAACGGCGGCCGUAACUAUAACGGUCCUAAGGUAGCAAAAUUCUUUGUCUAGUAAGUUUAGACCUGCACGAAAGGCGUAACGAUCAGAGCGCUGUCUCGGAGAGAGACUCGGUGAAAUAGACUUGUCCCGUGAAGAUGCGGACUACCUGCACCUGGACAGAAAGACCCUAUGAAGCUUGACUGUAUCCUGUAAUUGGGUUCGGGCUUUUCUUGCGCAGCCUAGGUGGGAGGCUAUGAAGGUUCUCUUCCGGGAGAACUAGAGCCAUCAUUGAGAGACCACUCUGGAAGAGCUAGAAUCCUAAUGGUGAUCUUUGAAUCAAGACACUUGACAGUUUCAGGUGGGCAGUUUAUCUGGGGCGGAUGCCUCCUAAAGCGUAACGGAGGCGUGCAAAGGUUCUCUCAGUCUGGACGGAAAUCAGACAUUGAGUGUAAAGGCAAAAGAGAGCUUGACUGCAAGACCUACAAGUCGAGCAGGGGCGAAAGCCGGCCUUAGUGAUCCGACGGUGCCGUGUGGAAGGGCCGUCGCUCAACGGAUAAAAGUUACUCUAGGGAUAACAGGCUGAUCUUCCCCAAGAGUCCACAUCGACGGGAAGGUUUGGCACCUCGAUGUCGGCUUGUCACAUCCUGGAGCGGUAGUACGUUCCAAGGGUUGGGCUGUUCGCCCAUUAAAGUGGCACAUGAGCUGGGUUCAAAACGUCGUAAAGUAUUGCAGACAGUUCGGUCCAUAUCCG